RNAcentral lists this ribosomal RNA (253 nucleotides) under uncultured bacterium. RNAcentral's name for it is "partial 16S ribosomal RNA". It matches the Rfam family "Bacterial small subunit ribosomal RNA", at positions 524 to 776 of the family's 1533-position model. The record is from RNAcentral.
UACGGGGGGGGUAAGCGUUGUUCGGAAUUACUGGGCGUAAAGGGCUCGUAGGCGGCCAACUAAGUCAGACGUGAAAUCCCUCGGCUUAACCGGGGAACUGCGUCUGAUACUGGAUGGCUUGAAUCCGGGAGAGGGAUGCGGAAUUCCAGGUGUAGCGGUGAAAUGCGUAGAUAUCUGGAGGAACACCGGUGGCGAAGGCGGCAUCCUGGACCGGCAUUGACGCUGAGGAGCGAAAGCCAGGGGAGCAAACGGG